UCUAGGGUCACCUCCCACCCGUGUUUAUUUUACCUUGUUGCUUCGGCGGGCCCGCCUUAACUGGCCGCCGGGGGGCUCACGCCCCCGGGCCCGCGCCCGCCGAAGACACCCUCGAACUCUGUCUGAAGAUUGAAGUCUGAGUGAAAAUAUAAAUUAUUUAAAACUUUCAACAACGGAUCUCUUGGUUCCGGCAUCGAUGAAGAACGCAGCGAAAUGCGAUACGUAAUGUGAAUUGCAAAUUCAGUGAAUCAUCGAGUCUUUGAACGCACAUUGCGCCCCCUGGUAUUCCGGGGGGCAUGCCUGUCCGAGCGUCAUUGCUGCCCUCAAGCCCGGCUUGUGUGUUGGGCCCCGUCCUCCGAUCUCCGGGGGACGGGCCCGAAAGGCAGCGGCGGCACCGCGUCCGGUCCUCGAGCGUAUGGGGCUUUGUCACCCGCUCUGUAGGCCCGGCCGGCGCUUGCCGAUCAACCCAAAUUUUUAUCCAGGUUGACCUCGGAUCAGGUAGGGAUACCCGCUGAACUUAAGCAUAUCAAUAAGCGGGGGGAAAA
Molecule: ribosomal RNA, 545 nt
Filed under: Penicillium commune
Lineage: Eukaryota; Fungi; Ascomycota; Eurotiomycetes; Eurotiales; Aspergillaceae
Description: eukaryotic LSU rRNA
Rfam family: 5.8S ribosomal RNA (bases 162-314)
Source: RNAcentral